Molecule: ribosomal RNA, 193 nt
Filed under: uncultured bacterium
Lineage: Bacteria
Description: partial 16S ribosomal RNA
Rfam family: Bacterial small subunit ribosomal RNA
Source: RNAcentral
CCUACGGGAGGCAGCAGUGGGGAAUAUUGCACAAUGGGCGAAAGCCUGACGCAGCGACGCCGCGUGAGGGAAGAAGGCCUUCGGGUUGUAAACCUCUUUCAGGAGGGACGAAGCCACUCGGGUUAAUAGCCCAGAGGGUGACGGUACUUCCAGAAGAAGCCCCGGCUAACUACGUGCCAGCAGCCGCGGUAAU